RNAcentral lists this ribosomal RNA (510 nucleotides) under uncultured bacterium. Its description in RNAcentral is "bacterial SSU rRNA". It matches the Rfam family "Bacterial small subunit ribosomal RNA", at positions 388 to 889 of the family's 1533-position model. The record is from RNAcentral.
CGGUUCACGCCGCGUGAGUGAAGAAGGUCUCGGAUCGUAAAACUCUGUUGUUAGGGAAGAACAAGUGCCGUUCGAAUAGGGCGGCGCCUUGACGGUACCUAACCAGAAAGCCACGGCUAACUACGUGCCAGCAGCCGCGGUAAUACGUAGGUGGCAAGCGUUGUCCGGAAUUAUUGGGCGUAAAGCGCGCGCAGGUGGUUUCUUAAGUCUGAUGUGAAAGCCCACGGCUCAACCGUGGAGGGUCAUUGGAAACUGGGGAACUUGAGUGCAGAAGAGGAAAGUGGAAUUCCAAGUGUAGCGGUGAAAUGCGUAGAUAUUUGGAGGAACACCAGUGGCGAAGGCGACUUUCUGGUCUGUAACUGACACUGAGGCGCGAAAGCGUGGGGAGCAAACAGGAUUAGAUACCCUGGUAGUCCACGCCGUAAACGAUGAGUGCUAAGUGUUAGAGGGUUUCCGCCCUUUAAUGCUGCAGCUAACGCAUUAAGCACUCCGCCUGGGGAGUACGGUCGC